AUUGAACGCUGGCGGCAGGCCUAACACAUGCAAGUCGAGCGCCCCGCAAGGGGAGCGGCAGACGGGUGAGUAACGCGUGGGAAUCUACCCAACUCUACGGAAUAACUCAGGGAAACUUGUGCUAAUACCGUAUACGCCCUUCGGGGAAAGAUUUAUCGGAGUUGGAUGAGCCCGCGUUGGAUUAGCUAGUUGGUGGGGUA
Molecule: ribosomal RNA, 200 nt
Filed under: uncultured bacterium
Lineage: Bacteria
Description: partial 16S ribosomal RNA
Rfam family: Bacterial small subunit ribosomal RNA
Source: RNAcentral